AGAGUGACGGAUGUUGCCGAUUUCCUUUCAGUGGCUCUGUGCUCAACGUCCAAGCUGCUGGCGCUUACUGGCAGGAAUGUUCUGUACCCUCAGAAACGUGAACGCGCAAACAUUUCCUCUGGAAACUCUCCCAUGGAUUUCCAAUUUGGCCGUUUCGCCCAGUGGACAACGAGCUCCUUGAGAGGAGGGACUGUGACCUCAUUAUAGAUGAAGCACCUUCCUUCCUGCCAGGCACACAAUAUAAAAGAGAGAAGCAAGCAGAGACACAUGGGAACCUCAUACCACCAAGAA
Molecule: long non-coding RNA, 291 nt
Organism: Trichechus manatus latirostris (Florida manatee)
Lineage: Eukaryota; Metazoa; Chordata; Mammalia; Sirenia; Trichechidae
Exons: 3
Source: RefSeq, a predicted model, not a curated record